Molecule: ribosomal RNA, 55 nt
Filed under: Thrips nigropilosus
Lineage: Eukaryota; Metazoa; Arthropoda; Insecta; Thysanoptera; Thripidae
Description: partial 5.8S ribosomal RNA
Source: RNAcentral
UGUGAACCACAGGACACAUGUAUAUCGACUCUUUGAACACAAAUGGCGGCUCUCG